ACGGGGAGCAGCAGUGGGGAAUAUUGGACAAUGGGCGCAAGCCUGAUCCAGCCAUGCCGCGUGAGUGAAGAAGGCCUUCGGGUUGUAAAGCUCUUUCGUCCGGGAAGAAAUCGUGUUGUUUAACAUCCGGCGUGGAUGACGGUACCUGACUAAUAAGCACCGGCUAACUUCGUGCCAGCAGCCGCGGUAAUACGUAGGGUGCGAGCGUUAAUCGGAAUUACUGGGCGUAAAGCGUGCGUAGGCGGUCUGGUAAGUCAGAUGUGAAAGCCCCGGGCUCAACCUGGGAAUGGCGUUUGAGACUGCAAGGCUAGAGUGCGGUAGAGGGGGGUGGAAUUCCUGGUGUAGCAGUGAAAUGCGUAGAUAUCAGGAGGAACAUCGAUGGCGAAGGCAGCCACCUGGGCCA
Molecule: ribosomal RNA, 403 nt
Filed under: uncultured bacterium
Lineage: Bacteria
Description: bacterial SSU rRNA
Rfam family: Bacterial small subunit ribosomal RNA
Source: RNAcentral